RNAcentral lists this transfer RNA (28 nucleotides) under Priapella chamulae. RNAcentral describes it as "partial tRNA-Gln". Lineage: Eukaryota; Metazoa; Chordata; Actinopteri; Cyprinodontiformes; Poeciliidae. The record is from RNAcentral.
AGAAAGUGGUGUAAUGGGAGCACUAAGA